This is a long non-coding RNA of Eptesicus fuscus (big brown bat), 499 nucleotides long. RefSeq lists it as uncharacterized. The record is from RefSeq and is a predicted model, not a curated record. The transcript is spliced from 4 exons. Lineage: Eukaryota; Metazoa; Chordata; Mammalia; Chiroptera; Vespertilionidae.
AUUUAAGAAACCCAUCUCUUAAAUACUUUGAAAGUGAACUGAGAAAACAGAUGAUUCUUUACCAUGGAAUGUUCUGAUCAGAGAGCAGUGAGUAAGAGAGGAAGAACAGUUAGGAGGCUGUUGUGAGAGUCCUGUCAAGAAGAUACUGAUGACUAAGACCCCCUUGGUAGUGGCAAAAAUGAAGUGGAAGGCUCACAGGCUUUGGGAGAAAGAGCACUGGUAAGGAUUCAGAUAAUGUUGGGAGUAACACUACACAGUUGAGAAAAGCAAGCAAGGUGCAUUUUGACUACUUCAGUGCUUUGUAGGAGAUUUCAGGAUGGCAUUGUUCCCAGACACGUUACUCAUGCUGUUCCUAAAAACUUUUGAGACAGAGCUUUCUGCCUUAGUAAAGCACUCUAGGGUUUGCCAGCCACAACAACGUGGACAUCCUUCCAAGUACCUCGCCGCAUUCCUGCUGCAGUUGGCCUGAUUGUGCCCUUAGUGGGGACGGAAAAAUACA